CAAUAGCGUAUAUUAAAGUUGUUGCAGUUAAAAAGCUCGUAGUUGGAUUUGUGGUGUACUUCGGCGGCCCGUCACUAUGUGAUGGAGCUUGCUGAAGUCGCCAUCCUUGGGUGGAUCCUGUGUGGCAUUAAGUUGUCGUGCAGGGGAUGCCCAUCGUUUACUGUGAGAAAAUUAGAGUGUUCAAAGCAGGCUUAUGCCGUUGAAUAUGUUAGCAUGGAAUAAUAAGAUAGGACCUUGGUACUAUUUUGUUGGUUUGCGCACCAAGGCAAUGAUUAAUAGGGACAGUUGGGGGUAUUCGUAUUUCAUUGUCAGAGGUGAAAUUCUUGGAUUUUUGAAAGACGAACUACUGCGACAGCAUUUACCAAGGAUGUUUUCAUUAA
RNAcentral lists this ribosomal RNA (380 nucleotides) under uncultured eukaryote. RNAcentral describes it as "partial 18S ribosomal RNA". It matches the Rfam family "Eukaryotic small subunit ribosomal RNA", at positions 592 to 976 of the family's 1831-position model. The record is from RNAcentral.